CCCUUCCUUCGGCCCCGCCCAGCCCCGCCGGCCGCCCGCUCCCUGGGGAACCGAGGGAGGAAUGGGCGGGGUCCUCAGGUGCCCGGCGACGUCAUCCAGCCCCCAAGGCUCCAGGACGCAAAGGGUCCCCUGAUCUGGCAGUCCCUGGACCUACCCUGGAGAGCGUGGGGGGACAAAGGCCGGACGCGCCGCCCGCUGCCGCCUCCAGGAAGCCCUCCCUUGCCAGGACAGUGGAGUUGGCCGGCUGAACAGGAAAAGGAACAGUAAGUACAAAGCAAGGCAACAUCAGAAAAGGGAGCCCUGAGGAAUUUCUCCCUCCUUCCCUGAGCCGGGUGAGGCCGUGACUGCAGCCUGACUCACAGGUCCUUCCAAAGUGCCUACGGAAAGCUUUGUCCCAUCCUUGAAAAAUUGCUAAUGGGUUUGGAGAUACGAGGUGGAGAUGACUAGCAAUCAAACUCAAAGGUGGAAGUCACAUCGAGGCAGAUGAGCAGAUGAGGGGACCUAGAGAAGAAGAGAGGUGCAAGGAGAGCCCAGCCAGCAGGAACAUCUGCCCCAGUAGGCAGCACUGCCCCACAUCAGAGUCGAGGAAAGCAAAGCUCGGAUUGGAUAAAAGAAACUUGCAAACACGGUCAGUGCUUACUGCAUGUGGGCUCAGAGCACGUUACCCUCCUUCCCUGCAUGUUCCUGUGAAACGGGUUUACUGCUCUAACUCUCAGGGACACUGUGAAGACCAAACGAGAAAAUAGAAACAAACAUAAUUUAUAAACCAUAAAGUACUGACACCAAAAGAGGGGCGAGCACAGCAUUGUGAAUGUGCUGGUACUAAAUGGUUUGUUUUAAGAUGAUUUUAUGGUGUGUGAAUUUCACUUGAAUAAAUUUUUUUAAUGGAGUUCAUGGGGACGCUGCAGGAUGUCAAUUAACUUUGGACAUUUUAGCAGCGCUUUAGGUGUUAAAAUUAUUUUUUAAAAAAUACAGGAUGAAGGGAAAAGCUUCAUGACAUUGGAUUUGGCAGUGAUUCCUUGGAUAUGACCCCAAAAGCACAGAUAACGAAAGAAAAAAUAGUUAAAUUGUCUUCAUCAAAAUUAAAACUUUUGUACAUCAAAGAACUCUUUCAAAAGAGUGAAAAAGUCACAGAAUAAGAGAAAAUCAUAUACCUGAUAAAGAAUUAAUAUUCAGAGCCAGAUGCAGUGGCUCAUGCCUGUAAUCCCAGCACUUUGGGAGGCCAAGGCAGGCAGAUCACUUGAGAUCAGGAGUUCGAGACAAGCCUGGCUAAAAUGGUGAAACCCCAGCUCUACUAAAAAUACAAAAAUUAGCCAGGCGUGGUGGCGUGCACCUGGAAUCCCAGCUAUUCGGGAGGCUGAGGCAGGAGAAUCGCUUGAACUCAGAAGGCAGAGGUUGCAGUGAGCCAAGAUCACACCACUGCACUCCAGCCUGGGCGACAAAGUGAGACUCCAUCUCAAAAAAACAAAACAAAACAAAACAAAACAAAGAGUUACUAUUCAGAAUAUAUUAAGAAUUCCUACAACUCAACAACAAAAAAAAAUCCAACCCAAUUAAAAAAUGGGCAACAGACCCAAAUAGACAUUUCUUAGAAGACACACAAAUGGCCAAUAAGCUCAUGAAAACAUGUUUAACAUCACUAAUCAUUAGGGAAAUGCAAAUCAAAGCUAAAAUGAGAUACCACGUCACACUCAUUAGGUGUUAUUUUUUAAAAAUAACACAACAACAAAAAAUAAGAAAUGUGGGCGAGGAUGUGAAGAAAUUGAAACCCUUGUGGACUGUUGUUGGGGAUGUAAAAUGGCGCAGCUGCUGGGGAAAACAGUAUGGGAGUUCCUCACAAAACUAAACAGAAUUGCCAAACGACCCAGCGAUCCUGCCUCUGACAUAUACUGGAAAGAACUGAAAUAAGGCGCUGGAACAGACACUUGUAACCCAUGUUCACAGCUGAGCCAAAAGGUGGGAGUAACCCAAAUGUCCAUCAGUGGAUGAAUACUGGCAAUAAAAGCUGUGUCUGGAGGCCACUCCGUUUCACACAGCUCUCCACACGGGUGAGGGCACAGCCUUCUCGUCUCUUUCCUAUGCUGCAUCUUCAGAGCUAGCUAUGAUAUGAUAUGAUGUGAUAUGUACAUAUCGAAUAUACAUGUUUUACAUGCAAA
Molecule: long non-coding RNA, 2156 nt
Filed under: Homo sapiens (human)
Lineage: Eukaryota; Metazoa; Chordata; Mammalia; Primates; Hominidae
Description: DENND3 antisense RNA 1, transcript variant 5 (DENND3-AS1)
Source: RNAcentral